Molecule: non-coding RNA, 525 nt
Organism: Pelobates cultripes (western spadefoot toad)
Lineage: Eukaryota; Metazoa; Chordata; Amphibia; Anura; Pelobatidae
Source: the annotation of a GenBank genome assembly
CUUCCUAGACUUUCUGCACUUCAUCAGUAUAAGGGAGAGUUUGUAGCGGAAUACAGGGUGAGAUGAGGUCUUGAUCAUCGAUUGUCAGAUGAGUGAAGGUUGGUGUUGCUUGGUCUACAGUUUUCUGCAGGAAUUUCCUUAGGCAUGGGAGAACACAACAAAUGAGAAGAGCGAGAAUAAAAAGAAAAAUUAGUAAGGCAAUACCAAUCUGGACUAAAGCUCUCUGCCAACCAGUCAUCCAACCAAACCAUUUUUCCCAGGGAUCAGUACCUCCAGAGUUUCUCUUUAACUCUUCUGAGAGUCUAUUUAAUUUAGCUAUGGCCAGAGUGACUUUACCAUUAGGACCUGUGUUUUCUGGAAUGUAAGUGCAACAAGUCAUAGUGUCGGGAAGUAUUUUACAGACCCCCCUUUUUCGGCUAAGAUCAUGUCUAAGGCCAGUCUGUUCUCGAAGGUCAUUUGGGAUGUGGCCUGUAAUUGCUCGGCCAAGCCCUGGAGGGCAUCCCUGGUGUAGUUCACGAAGCGCUG